UACGGGGGGAGCAAGCGUUGUUCGGAUUUACUGGGCGUAAAGGGCGCGUAGGCGGCCAGCACAAGUCAGUUGUGAAAUCUCCGGGCUUAACUCGGAAAGGUCAACUGAUACUGUGCGGCUAGAGUGCAGAAGGGGCAACUGGAAUUCUCGGUGUAGCGGUGAAAUGCGUAGAUAUCGAGAGGAACACCUGCGGCGAAGGCGGGUAACUAGGAACACUUUGACGCUGAGGGACGAAAGCUAGGGGAGCGAAAGGG
RNAcentral lists this ribosomal RNA (254 nucleotides) under uncultured prokaryote. RNAcentral describes it as "partial 16S ribosomal RNA". It matches the Rfam family "Bacterial small subunit ribosomal RNA", at positions 524 to 776 of the family's 1533-position model. The record is from RNAcentral.